GAAAAACGCAACUUUGUUUUAAACAGGUGAUAUCGACACUGAAUUUGAACAUGAAAGGACCACAUUAUAUCUAGACGGGUGAUCAUUACAGUUCGGAGACAAGACAUUGACCUUCCAACAUCAUCAGCAGCAUAUAUACAUCAAGGAACAUCAAAAAAACAAGAGCUCCACAGAAACAUUAGGAACAAGAACACAAUGAGCAGAGGACACAACAUGGCUAUCAAGUCAAAAGCAUGAAGAAACUGAGCUUCAAAAUUCAAAUGCAUGGAGAAGCAUAAAGACGAAAUCUUUUCCAGUAAUUAGAACAAAGGGC
This is a long non-coding RNA of Arabidopsis thaliana (thale cress), 313 nucleotides long. RefSeq annotates it as other RNA. The transcript has a single exon. The record is from RefSeq. NCBI's taxonomy places the organism in Eukaryota, Viridiplantae, Streptophyta, Magnoliopsida, Brassicales, Brassicaceae.